GAUGAACGCUGGCGGCGUGCCUAAUACAUGCAAGUCGAGCGAACGGACGAGAAGCUUGCUUCUCUGAUGUUAGCGGCGGACGGGUGAGUAACACGUGGAGAACCUACCUAUAAGACUGGGAUAACUUCGGGAAACCGGAGCUAAUACCGGAUAAUAUUUUGAACCGCAUGGUUCAAAAGUGAAAGACGGUCUUGCUGUCACUUAUAGAUGGAUCCGCGCUGCAUUAGCUAGUUGGUAAGGUAACGGCUUACCAAGGCAACGAUGCAUAGCUGACCUGAGAGGGUGGUCGGCCACACUGGAACUGGGACAGGGUCCAGACUCGUAGGGGAGGCGGCAGUGGGGAAUCUUCGGCAAUGGGGGAAGGCCUGACGGAGCAACGCGGCGUGAGUGAUGAAGGUCUUCGGAUCGUAAAACUCUGUUAUUAGGGAAGAACAUAUGUGUAAGUAACUGUGCACAUCUUGACGGUACCUAAUCAGAAAGCCACGGCUAACUACGUG
This 497-nucleotide ribosomal RNA is filed under the name uncultured bacterium. RNAcentral's name for it is "partial 16S ribosomal RNA". It matches the Rfam family "Bacterial small subunit ribosomal RNA", at positions 28 to 507 of the family's 1533-position model. The record is from RNAcentral.